RNAcentral lists this small RNA (528 nucleotides) under Pan troglodytes (chimpanzee). RNAcentral describes it as "processed transcript". The record is from RNAcentral. Lineage: Eukaryota; Metazoa; Chordata; Mammalia; Primates; Hominidae.
GCUGAAUUGCUUUUCUCUGUUAUCUGCUUCUUUGGGAUUAUGACCACCAGCUCCAUCCAUGUUCCUGCAAAAUGACAUGAUCUCACUUUUUUAAUAGCUGCAUAGUAUUCCAUGGUUAUCUUGACGAAUCAGAUUACAACCCAUCUGAGUGGAGCCCUGGCUUCUCAGGCAGACCUGGUGUCUCCAGCUGAUGAUUUGUCCCUGUCUGAAGGCACUUCUGGAUCCAGCUGUGUGAUAGCCGCACUAGGAAAUACCUGGAGUCACAGUGUGAAUACCCGGCUGAUCCUCCAGUACCUUGAUUCAGAGAGAAGACAGAUUCUUAUUGCCAAGUCCCCUCUGGCUCCCUUCACCUCAUUUGUCUACACCAUCAAGGAGGAAGGCCUGGUUCUUCAAGCCUAUGGAAAUUCCUAGAGACAGGUAAAUGUGCAAACCUGUUCAUCUUGCCAAGAAAAAUCCGCUUUUCUGCCACAGAAACAAAAUAUUGGGAAAGAGUCUUGUGGUGAAACACCCAUCGUUCUCUGCUAAAAC